GAACCGGGGUUGCACGGUUUUCAUGUUGAAAAACUCCUGUUAUUUCGCUGCUUCGGUGCCGAACCAGAGCCGGGUUUG
This 78-nucleotide transfer RNA is filed under the name Methylococcales bacterium. RNAcentral describes it as "tRNA-Arg". The record is from RNAcentral. Lineage: Bacteria; Pseudomonadati; Pseudomonadota; Gammaproteobacteria; Methylococcales.